This 869-nucleotide ribosomal RNA is filed under the name uncultured bacterium. Its description in RNAcentral is "bacterial SSU rRNA". It matches the Rfam family "Bacterial small subunit ribosomal RNA", at positions 9 to 873 of the family's 1533-position model. The record is from RNAcentral.
GGCUUAGAGUUUGAUCAUGGCUCAGGAUGAACGCUGGCGGCGUGCUUAACACAUGCAAGUCGAGCGAAGCACUCCAUCAGAUUUCUUCGGAUUGAAGAUGGUUUGACUGAGCGGCGGACGGGUGAGUAACGCGUGGGUGACCUGCCCCAUACCGGGGGAUAACAGCUGGAAACGGCUGCUAAUACCGCAUAAGCGCACGGAGCUGCAUGGCUCAGUGUGAAAAACUCCGGUGGUAUGGGAUGGGCCCGCGUCUGAUUAGGCAGUUGGCGGGGUAAAGGCCCACCAAACCGACGAUCAGUAGCCGACCUGAGAGGGCGACCGGCCACAUUGGGACUGAGACACGGCCCAAACUCCUACGGGAGGCAGCAGUGGGGAAUAUUGCACAAUGGGGGAAACUCUGAUGCAGCGACGCCGCGUGAGCGAAGAAGUAUUUCGGUAUGUAAAGCUCUAUCAGCAGGGAAGAUAAUGACGGUACCUGACUAAGAAGCCCCGGCUAACUACGUGCCAGCAGCCGCGGUAAUACGUAGGGGGCAAGCGUUAUCCGGAUUUACUGGGUGUAAAGGGAGCGUAGACGGUGAAGCAAGUCUGGUGUGAAACCCCGGGGCUCAACCUCGGGCCUGCAUUGGAAACUGUUUUGCUUGAGUGCCGGAGAGGUAAGCGGAAUUCCUAGUGUAGCGGUGAAAUGCGUAGAUAUUAGGAGGAACACCGGUGGCGAAGGCGGCUUACUGGACGGCAACUGACGUUGAGGCUCGAAAGCGUGGGGAGCAAACAGGAUUAGAUACUCCUGUAGUCCNCGCUCGCCAACGAUGAAUGCUAGGUGUUGGGAGCAAAGCUUCUUCGUGUCGNGCAAACGUAUUAAGCAUUCCNNU